GGUUUCGUAGCCCAGCUAGUAGGGCGCUUGCCACGUUGAGGCAUGCAGUUUCUGUGGUUGGUUCGAAUCCAAACGAAGCCC
This 81-nucleotide transfer RNA is filed under the name Paragonimus westermani. RNAcentral's name for it is "tRNA-Asn". Lineage: Eukaryota; Metazoa; Platyhelminthes; Trematoda; Plagiorchiida; Troglotrematidae. The record is from RNAcentral.